GGGCUGGACAAGGUCCCAAGGGUCGGGCUGUUCGCCCGUUAAAGCGGUACGCGAGCUGGGUUCAGACCGUCGUGAGACAGGUCGGUCUCUAUCCGCUGUGGGCGUAAGGGAUUUGAGAGGAGCUGCCCCUAGUACGAGAGGACCGGGGUGGACAGACCUCUGGUGUGCCAGUUGUCGUGCCAACGGCAUCGCUGGGUAGCUAUGUCUGGCAGAGAUAACCGCUGAAAGCAUCUAAGUGGGAAACUCGCCUCAAGAUGAGAUCCCUCAUCCCGCUAAGGGAGUAAGGCCGCAGGAAGACUACCUGCUUGAUAGGCGGCAUGUGUAAGCGCAGUAAUGCGUUCAGCUAAGCCGUACUAAUGGCCGAGGGCUUUCUCUG
Molecule: ribosomal RNA, 376 nt
Filed under: Chloroflexota bacterium
Lineage: Bacteria; Bacillati; Chloroflexota
Description: Chloroflexi bacterium (sediment metagenome) partial 23S ribosomal RNA
Rfam family: Bacterial large subunit ribosomal RNA
Source: RNAcentral